This is an RNA transcript of Brassica napus (rape), 4231 nucleotides long. RefSeq lists it as uncharacterized. The transcript has 4 exons. The record is from RefSeq and is a predicted model, not a curated record. NCBI's taxonomy places the organism in Eukaryota, Viridiplantae, Streptophyta, Magnoliopsida, Brassicales, Brassicaceae.
AUGAUGCUCUUAAUCAGACAAAACAAGAUUCGUCUCUCGUGUGCCACGUGCAGCUGCGAUAGUGUUUCUCUCUCUCUAUCUCUCGACUUUUGCUUCUUCGAUUGGAAUCGGAGUACUGGAUGUCGUCGUGUCGAACAGCCACCGUCACCCUUCAGCUCCCGCCUUCGAUGUCGAACAGCCACCGUCAUCAUCGAUCGAGAUCGUCACCCAGAUGCCUCACCUGGCACACCCAUCCGUCCUCACCUCCAUGACCAACGCCAUCUCCGACAUGACCAACACCAACGCCGUCCUCGCGAUCUUUGUCUCCCCUCUUCACCAUCGCUUCAUCACGCCUCGAUUCCGUCGGAAACGUCGCGAUUCGAGCUCAACAGCGGCGGAUGCGUCGGCUGGGGAGAAGCUCCGAUUCUUCUUUCGGUGACGGCGGAGGAUCAUAUUACGGCCAUGGUUAAAGCCCGGGAAGCCUUCGAGCUUCUCAGAGAGCUACCGGAGAUGAAACUAGGUCACGUUCUUCAAGAGAUUGGUGGGAUUCUCCCUUGCCAUCGAUUUGCAUCUGUAAGAGCUGGGGUGGAGAUGGCUAUGAUUGAUGCUGCUGCUAAGAGCGUUGGAGUGCCAUUGUGGAAACUCUUUGUGGCGAGAGAGGGGUGGUUUCUAGAGAGGAAGCAGUGAUGCGCGUAGAGAAGCGGUGUUUCUUGAGGAAUCAUUCAGUAGAGCAAGAGCUUUUACAGAUGCUGGAGCACAUGUACUGUCCAUUGAUUCUCUUGUAUCUAGAGAAGAGAUGAAAUCAUUCUGCAACGUCUAUCCACUAGUUCCUAAACUGAUGGGGCAACUUACUCUUACAUGUGGUAAAUGGAUAUAUCAAGAAACUAGAUGGCUAUUUGGUGUUGACAAGAAAAAAGAGAGAAAAGUCAUAGAAGUAAGCGAUAUGAUUUGCUAUGAAGUUUUUGUUCAGAUGGUGAUCAGAGAAUACAAAGUUGAUACACAAAAUUCCAAGGUAGAAUUGAGCUACAUGUAUCCAAAAAAGGUUUUGUUGACAUUACCACAUAACACACCGCCUAUAGAUAUCGGAAAUCAAAGACAAUUUUCUGGAAUUUUGGAGCAACUAAAGACCGAACCUAUGAAUAUUUGUCUCGAACUUAAGGAAAUAGAUUUGGAGGAAGAAGAUGAUGAUGUAGUAACUCAUACAGACUAGGACCAACACAUGUACACACAUUCAGUUCUGCCCAAAAUUCUUUAUGGUCAACUUUGCAAAGGUCACCAUCAUCAAAAAUAGCACAAUUCAAACUAGUUAUCUCACCAAACUCUAACAAAGAGAGACGAAUGGGCUGCCAAUCAAUCAACGACCAUAUCUCAUAAUUCUUUCUAACUACCAGCUGAUGCGUUAAGAGGUAACGAACAACCUUUGCAGACCAUGUGAAAUCAAGCUCGUAAAAUCUAGGAAAAACUCCAACUGAUGACUUCUUCAGUGCAUCCCAUGCAUCGUUUCCUACUCAUACUUCCACCAUUUGAAAAUUUGACAAAUAACUAUAGUAACUCAUAGAGUUUGAAUGGUAAUCAAGGGAAUGAAGAGGAACAAUACAUUCCUUAACGUUCCUCAAAAAUGUUACCAUUCAUGAGGAAUAUUUUUUCCUCUUCGUUCCUUCUCAUUCCCUUUUUUGUAGAAAAUUACACUGCAAAUUUAUUCCUUGUUAAUUUUGAUAAGGAACUCUCAUUCCUCAUCAUUCCCAAAAUUUUAUUCCUAUUCAUUCUUUUUCUAUUCAUUCCUAAUGUUCCUCGAUGGUUGUUGAGGCCAUAUCUAGCAAUGGAAAGUUCAAAGUAACAUUAGCAUGAAAUAACUACAGCGAAAUAACAAAUAAAUAUCUAUAUAUAUAAAGUAGACUUUGUUCUCUUCUUAUGACAUGUGAAAUAGGGGUUUGUUGACAUGUGUCCACGUGUUUUUCUUUUUGUAUUUUAGAUCUUUUUUCUUAUAGAUUAUUACAUUUGUCUCAUCACUUUCUAAUUGUGCACUAUCUAAUCAUUCUCACAUUAAGUAUCAUUAUCGCUUGAGAAUCUAUUUUAUUGGUCACUAAAAUUCUAAAAUAAGUAAAAUAAUAUAAAUAUAUUUUAAAUGUUUAAUUUAUUCACAACUAAAAAUAGCAUCAACUUUCAUCAUUUUAUUAUUUUUAUUAUUUUCUAUUAUUUCUUUUACAAAUUAUAUAUUUAAUUUACAAUUAAAGUUAUAAAAUAACCAAACUAAAAAUAAGAAACUAGAGCACAACACAAAAUUUAAACCUAAAACCUCCAUUAUCACUGGGAAAUCAAAAUGCCAUAUUAACGCUAAUUCAAUAGAGGUCUAUAGCUGAAAGGAGAUCAAGAACGAAGACUAACUUACCUCAUUGUACCAUAAAGUGUCUUGGCCAGAACAAGUAAAAAAAAAGGAGAUAGAAAGAUAAAAUCUGAAACAAAGCAAUCCUCCGAACAAAAAUAAGCGCGAUAUGCAAAUAAUUAGGAAAGCGGACAAGAUGGAGAAUAAUAAUCGGAAGGCCAAAGUCAUCAAAAAGCAGGAAGAUACAUGCCUAAAGUACUGGAAGCACAACCACUAGCAAAAAGGUAAGAAACACCUCACAAACUAAACAAGAACAGACAAGGCGCUCAUGCAAGUGAAGAAACACAAAUCUCUGGAUAGAAGGGACCAAAGCUCCAAGAGACUAACUCCGCACACCUAUACCAAAAGAAACAUGGGAAGAAGAGAAACAACAUGAGGGAGGGAUAAUAGAAACCAACCACCGCGAAAUCAGAGAAUAAGCUUGAGACCAGAAAUAACCUUCAAAGCCCACAUACCAUACACAAACGAAAACAUUAUCCAAACCUGGAGUGGUAAGCAUGGUGAAAGGGAGAGCUACAAGAGAUGCGAGCAGCGAUGAAAGCUGCAACGAGAUGAGAAAACAGAGAGGGAAAGUGAGACAAAACAAAAUCAUCAAACUAUGGAGCUGUCCUCGAGUUAUGAAAGAGAGCAUAGAAGUCAGAUCCCCAAAAACUAGAUCUUGAAAACCAAGACGAGCAAGGACUAUUGACGGCAAACCAACGACGAGGAAGACAACAUCAAAGACGACUAAAAUCUGACCCAGCCCAAGGAGAUGCAGUUCUUAACAUCAGCCGAAAUCUAAGGAAGAAGAGGAGCAACCAAUAUUGACUGGAAAAGCCUACAACGUUGUGAGAAACAACCACACAACUGGGAACUCAUAAAGUCAGUUUACAGCAAAUUCUAUAAUCUCACUGACAAAGAAGGCGAGGAAGAACAAGAGCAGGAGGUGAAUCUUUUUCCGGUGAUGGUGACGAUUCAAGGUCAAAAUAUGGAGAGAGGAAAAAAACAUCUUAAAAGUUAUAAUGUUCAAAAAUAUGAACAAAAUAAAAUAAAAUUUUGACGUUGAAAACAUUAAUCUUAAAAUCGACAAUGCGUAAAAUACGCAUCAUAUCAGUCUAAAAUAAGCUACAAUGUCAAGUUGAGAGGUAGGGAUUUGACUGCUGGGAAACGGAGAAUGAUUUAUACUACUGAUUCUUGGACGCUAAAUAAAAUCUUGUUUCCUAAAGCCUUAAUUGGGUCAACUCGUUCCGCAGAUACAGCAAAAAUUGACCAUGAUUUGACUUCAAAGAAGCUAUUGUAUGCUGCCAACUGGACAAUGGAACAGGAAGAGGACAUUCAACUCUAUCUGGUGUGGAUUAGUUGAUUUGGUUCCAGGCUGCAACAAUACUGUCCCUUUUUCCUGUGUUUUCUCAAUAUGUUGAAAGAUGAGUUGCAGCAUCCAAUCUGGAGUCAUAUAUCCAGCUGUCGAAAACACCUGAAAUCCCUCUGCAAACUGGAUCCAGAUGCUUUUUCAAUUCCGAUGAUGUCCUCCAAGUUGAUUGAUAUAGCAGCAUCGAAUGAACAGUCAAAACCCCUUAGUAAAACCCUCUUUGAGUCUCUUAGCUCUGUUGGCGUUCUUCGGCUUACCUAUCAGCAGUGGCUUGCAGAAAAUAACUACAACCACACUGAUGUAUCCUCUUUUAUUCGCUUUCUGGAUUCCCUUCGCGCACUGGAGAAGAAAAUUCUUAGCGAAAUUGUUGGAUCACCUUCUUUCACUGUGUUGAUUCAGUUGUACAUUGAAGUUAUUGAAAAGCAUUCAUUUUUCUGGUCUGAUUUGGUCUCGUCUUCAGACGAGUGUAAAUUGUUUUUCUUUUGGUCACUAAUAAAGGCUAUCAAAAAGUUGGACAGUUC